UACGUAGGGACCAAGCGUUGUUCGGAUUUACUGGGCGUAAAGGGCGCGUAGGCGGCGUGACAAGUCACUUGUGAAAUCUCCGGGCUUAACUCGGAACGGUCAAGUGAUACUGUUGUGCUAGAGUACAGAAGGGGCAAUCGGAAUUCUUGGUGUAGCGGUGAAAUGCGUAGAUAUCAGGAGGAACACCUGAGGUGAAGACGGGUUGCUGGGCUGACACUGACGCUGAGGCGCGAAAGCCAGGGGAGCAAACGGG
This 253-nucleotide ribosomal RNA is filed under the name uncultured bacterium. RNAcentral describes it as "partial 16S ribosomal RNA". It matches the Rfam family "Bacterial small subunit ribosomal RNA", at positions 524 to 776 of the family's 1533-position model. The record is from RNAcentral.